Molecule: small RNA, 123 nt
Filed under: Salmonella enterica subsp. enterica serovar Mbandaka
Lineage: Bacteria; Pseudomonadati; Pseudomonadota; Gammaproteobacteria; Enterobacterales; Enterobacteriaceae
Description: partial RtT sRNA
Rfam family: RtT RNA
About the family: This family represents a bacterial cis-regulatory element known as RtT RNA.
Source: RNAcentral
UUCGAAUCCUGCACGACCCACCAAUAUAAAAGGUGGUAACUGGUAGAGAACGUGAAGGAUAAUGUUGCUUUAGCAACGGCCCGAAGGGCGAGGCGAAGCCGAGUCAUCCUGCACGACCCACCA